GACGAACGCUGGCGGCGUGCUUAACACAUGCAAGUCGAACGGAAAGGCCCCUUUGGGGGUACUCGAGUGGCGAACGGGUGAGUAACACGUGAGUAACCUGCCCUUGACUUCGGGAUAACUUCAGGAAACUGGGGCUAAUACCGGAUAGGAAUCCUUGCUGCAUGGUGGGGGUUGGAAAGCUUCGGCGGUUUUGGAUGGACUCGCGGCUUAUCAGCUUGUUGGUGGGGUAGUGGCUUACCAAGGCUUUGACGGGUAGCCGGCCUGAGAGGGCGACCGGCCACAUUGGGACUGAGAUACGGCCCAGCCUCCUACGGGAGGCAGCAGUGGGGAAUAUUGCACAAUGGGCGGAAGCCUGAUGCAGCAACGCCGCGUGCGGGAUGACGGCCUUCGGGUUGUAAACCGCUUUCAGCAGGGGCGAAGCUUGUGGUGACGGUACCUGCAGAAGAAGCACCGGCUAACUACGUG
This 465-nucleotide ribosomal RNA is filed under the name uncultured bacterium. Its description in RNAcentral is "partial 16S ribosomal RNA". It matches the Rfam family "Bacterial small subunit ribosomal RNA", at positions 28 to 507 of the family's 1533-position model. The record is from RNAcentral.